CCUACGUGCGGCAGCAGUGAGGAAUAUUGGUCAAUGGGCGGAAGCCUGAACCAGCCAAGUAGCGUGCCGGAUGACGGCCCUACGGGUUGUAAACUGCUUUUAUACGGGAAUAACGCGCCUUACGUGUAGGGCUUUGCAUGUACCGUAUGAAUAAGGACCGGCUAAUUCCGUUCCAGCAGCCGCGGUCAUACGGAAGGUCCCGGCGUUAUCCGGAUUUCUUGGGUUUAAAGGGAGCGUAGGCCGCAUGUCAAGCGUGCUGUGAAAUGUCCGGGCUCAACCCGGGCCUUGCCGGGAGAACUGGCGUGCUUGAGUGCGCGGAAAGCAGGCGGAAGUCGUCGUGUAGCGGUGAAAUGCUUAGAUAUGACGAAGAACCCCGAUGGCGAAGGCAGCUUGCUGCAGCGGAACGGACGCUGAUGCUCGAAAGCGCGGGUAUCGAACAGGAUUAGAUACCCUUGUAGUC
Molecule: ribosomal RNA, 460 nt
Filed under: uncultured bacterium
Lineage: Bacteria
Description: partial 16S ribosomal RNA
Rfam family: Bacterial small subunit ribosomal RNA
Source: RNAcentral